UACGGGGGGGGCAAGCGUUGUUCGGAAUUACUGGGCGUAAAGGGCUCGUAGGCGGCCAACUAAGUCAGACGUGAAAUCCCUCGGCUUAACCGGGGAACUGCAUCUGAUACUGGAUGGCUUGAGAUUGGGAGAGGGAUGCGGAAUUCCAGGUGUAGCGGUGAAAUGCGUAGAUAUCUGGAGGAACACCGGUGGCGAAGGCGGCAUCCUGGACCAACACCGACGCUGAGUGAGCGAAAGCCAGGGGAGCAAACGGG
RNAcentral lists this ribosomal RNA (254 nucleotides) under uncultured bacterium. RNAcentral describes it as "partial 16S ribosomal RNA". It matches the Rfam family "Bacterial small subunit ribosomal RNA", at positions 524 to 776 of the family's 1533-position model. The record is from RNAcentral.